Molecule: long non-coding RNA, 534 nt
Filed under: Capsicum annuum
Lineage: Eukaryota; Viridiplantae; Streptophyta; Magnoliopsida; Solanales; Solanaceae
Description: long non-coding RNA (CANN_LNC018039)
Source: RNAcentral
AAAAAAUAAUUAAUACAAAACUUUAAAAGUUCAAACCUAAUUAUCAAUGCUCUACAAUUCAUACAACAAAAUCAUAGACUAUAUUAUAUCGACGAAUACUAAAAAAAUUACAUAGAAAGAAGAAGAUGAAGAAAAGUACAAUCAAACACUUGGUAUGCAAAUCUUAGACCCACUAUCAAUCACUUAUCACAUAAUCACAUAAUCCCAUGAUGCCUUUCUUUUUCUAAUCACCAAUAGUUCAAAUUCAACACUCCGAUUCCAUAUCUCUUGCCUUCAAAUUUCAUCAUUGUUACAAAUAAUUCUUUAUCCAGCUUCACUAUUAAUGAAUCUCAAAUUACUUACUCAUAUCAAUACAUGAAUCAAGCUGUGUGCGAUUAUUGUUCAAAUGAUUGUAUGCUCGCACGCAGCUCGCCAUAAGUCAUUGAAACGAAAAAAAUGAUAGCUAUUGCUUACAAAUAUUAGGGCAAACAUAAUUAAGAAAAAAAAGAACAAGAAAGAGAGAGCGAAAGUAAAGCUGGAAGAAGAAAUUGGCAC